UACGGAGGGUGCGAGCGUUACUCGGAAUCACUGGGCGUAAAGGGCGCGUAGGCGGCCGGGCAAGUCUGGUGUGAAAGCCCAGGGCUCAACCCUGGAAGGGCACUGGAAACUGUCUGGCUUGAGUUCCGGAGAGGAGGGGGGAAUUCCCGGUGUAGCGGUGAAAUGCGUAGAUAUCGGGAGGAAUACCGGUGGCGAAGGCGCCCCUCUGGACGGGUACUGACGCUGAGGUGCGAAAGCGUGGGGAGCAAACAGG
This 253-nucleotide ribosomal RNA is filed under the name uncultured microorganism. RNAcentral describes it as "partial 16S ribosomal RNA". It matches the Rfam family "Bacterial small subunit ribosomal RNA", at positions 524 to 776 of the family's 1533-position model. The record is from RNAcentral.